RNAcentral lists this ribosomal RNA (274 nucleotides) under uncultured bacterium. RNAcentral describes it as "partial 16S ribosomal RNA". It matches the Rfam family "Bacterial small subunit ribosomal RNA", at positions 523 to 796 of the family's 1533-position model. The record is from RNAcentral.
AUACGAAGGGCCCGAGCGUUGCGCGGAAUUACUGGGCUUAAAGCGUACGUAGGCGGGCACGCAGGCGUCUUGUGAAAUCCCUCUGCUCAACCGAGGAACUGCUUGACGAACCGCGUGUCUUGAGGCAGGUAGGGGCUGUCGGAACGAUAGGUGGAGUGGUGAAAUGCGUUGAUAUCUAGCGGAACGCCGAAGGAGAAAUCAGGCCGCAGGGCUUGUUCUGACGCUGAGGUACGAAAGCGUGGGGAGCGAACGGGAUUAGAAACCCCGGUAGUCC